This 465-nucleotide ribosomal RNA is filed under the name Vreelandella stevensii. Its description in RNAcentral is "partial 16S ribosomal RNA". It matches the Rfam family "Bacterial small subunit ribosomal RNA", at positions 338 to 795 of the family's 1533-position model. Lineage: Bacteria; Pseudomonadati; Pseudomonadota; Gammaproteobacteria; Oceanospirillales; Halomonadaceae. The record is from RNAcentral.
CCUACGGGUGGCAGCAGUGGGGAAUAUUGGACAAUGGGGGGAACCCUGAUCCAGCCAUGCCGCGUGUGUGAAGAAGGCCCUCGGGUUGUAAAGCACGUUCAGUUAGGAAGAACGCCUGGUGGUUAAUACCCAUCAGGAAAGACAUCACUCACAGAAGAAGCACCGGCUAACUCCGUGCCAGCAGCCGCGGUAAUACGGAGGGUGCGAGCGUUAAUCGGAAUUACUGGGCGUAAAGCGCGCGUAGGUGGCUUGAUAAGCCGGUUGUGAAAGCCCCGGGCUCAACCUGGGAACGGCAUCCGGAACUGUCAAGCUAGAGUGCAGGAGAGGAAGGUAGAAUUCCCGGUGUAGCGGUGAAAUGCGUAGAGAUCGGGAGGAAUACCAGUGGCGAAGGCGGCCUUCUGGACUGACACUGACACUGAGGUGCGAAAGCGUGGGUAGCAAACAGGAUUAGAUACCCCGGUAGUC